CUUUUUUUUUUUUUUUUUUUUUUUUCAAGCACCUUCUGUCGAAGUGAACG
RNAcentral lists this non-coding RNA (50 nucleotides) under uncultured Pelagophyceae. Lineage: Eukaryota; Pelagophyceae. The record is from RNAcentral.